RNAcentral lists this ribosomal RNA (493 nucleotides) under uncultured bacterium. RNAcentral describes it as "partial 16S ribosomal RNA". It matches the Rfam family "Bacterial small subunit ribosomal RNA", at positions 28 to 503 of the family's 1533-position model. The record is from RNAcentral.
GAUGAACGCUGGCGGCGUGCCUAAUACAUGCAAGUCGAGCGAACAGACGAGGAGCUUGCUCCUCUGACGUUAGCGGCGGACGGGUGAGUAACACGUGGAUAACCUACCUAUAAGACUGGGAUAACUUCGGGAAACCGGAGCUAAUACCGGAUAAUAUAUUGAACCGCAUGGUUCAAUAGUGAAAGACGGUUUUGCUGUCACUUAUAGAUGGAUCCGCGCCGCAUUAGCUAGUUGGUAAGGUAACAGCUUACCAAGGCAACGAUGCGUAGCCGACCUGAGAGGGUGAUCGGCCACACUGGAACUGAGACACGGUCCAGACUCCUACGGGAGGCAGCAGUAGGGAAUCUUCCACAAUGGGCGAAAGCCUGACGGAGCAACGCCGCGUGAGUGAUGAAGGUCUUCGGAUCGUAAAACUCUGUUAUUAGGGAAGAACAAAUGUGUAAGUAACUAUGCACGUCUUGACGGUACCUAAUCAGAAAGCCACGGCUAACUA